UUGAUUACGUCCCUGCCCUUUGUACACACCGCCCGUCGCUGCCCGGGACUGAGCCAUUUCGAGAAAUUUGGGGACCGUUGAUUUAAUUUAUCUAAAUUAUUUUGAUGGAAACCAAUUUAAUCGCAGUGGCUUGAACCGGGCAAAAGUCGUAACAAGGUAGCUGUAGGUGAACCUGCUGCUGGAUCAUUACUUUAUGUGAUGUUCAAUUUUGAAUCGCAAUGAAAUAAUUGUUGUGUAACGGCUGUCGCUGGUGUCUAGGUGUUGCUGAUACAGUUGUGAACGUCCGUGGCUGUAUAUGUGGUGACAUGUUAGGACUAUAAUGAGUUUAAGACUUAAUGAGCCUCUUAAGUGAGGACGCCAGCACUCUUUUUUUCUCUAUAUUUUAAAAAAAAACAAAAUUCCUAGCCUUUCCGGUGGAUCACUAGGCUCGUGGAUCGAUGAAGAACGCAGCAAACUGCGAUAAGUUUUGCGAACUGCAGCAGCCUUGAGCAUAAAAGUUUUGAACGCAUAUUGCCGCAUAGGGGUCAAACCCUUUGCUAUGUCUGGUUCAGGGUCAUUUUCUUUCAAAGCGAAAGCUUUAUUGUAUAAUUGCUUUUGUGGCUUCUUUAUGUUUUAAAUUGAUUGUUAGAUAUGUUUAAUUGUUCGCAUGUAUCAUCAACAAUAUUAAUUUUUUGACCUGAACUCAGUCGAGAGCACCCGCUGAACUUAAGCAUAUCAGUAAGCGGAGGAAAAGAAACUAAACAGGAUUCCCUUAGUAACGGCGAGUGAAA
RNAcentral lists this ribosomal RNA (770 nucleotides) under Meloidogyne enterolobii. RNAcentral's name for it is "eukaryotic LSU rRNA". The stretch from base 1 to 189 matches the Rfam family "Eukaryotic small subunit ribosomal RNA", at positions 1641 to 1831 of the family's 1831-position model. Lineage: Eukaryota; Metazoa; Nematoda; Chromadorea; Rhabditida; Meloidogynidae. The record is from RNAcentral.